AGAGUUUGAUCCUGGCUCAGAACGAACGCUGGCGGCGCGCUUAACACAUGCAAGUCGAACGAGAAGGCGUAGCAAUACGCUUGUAAAGUGGCAAACGGGUGAGUAAUGCGUGGGUAAUCUACCCUCGGGUGGGGAAUAACCCCUCGAAAGGGGAGCUAAUGCCGACAUGCCCAACAUUCCCGCAAGGGAGUAUUGGAAAGCCGUACCGUGGGUGCGGCGCCCAAGGAUGAGCUCACGUCCUAUCAGCUUGUUGGCGGGGUAACGGCCCACCAAGGCUGCGACGGGUAGCUGGUCUGAGAGGACGACCAGCCACACUGGCACUGCGACACGGGCCAGACUCCUACGGGAGGCAGCAGUGAGGAAUAUUGCGCAAUAGGCGAAAGCCUGACGCAGCGACGCCGCGUGGGGGAUGAAGGCCUUCGGGUUGUAAACCCCUUUCAGGAGGGAAGAUGGAACGGGUAACCGUUCGGACGGUACCUCCAGAAGCAGCCACGGCUAACUCUGUGCCAGCAGCCGCGGUAAGACAGAGGUGGCAAGCGUUGUUCGGAUUUACUGGGCGUAAAGAGUGCGUAGGUGGUUCGGUAAGACCUGUGGGAAAGCCCAGGGCUUAACCCUGGAAGGUCGCAGGUGACUGCCGGGCUAGAGGACGGGAGAGGAGAGCGGAAUUCCCGGUGUAGCGGUGAAAUGCGUAGAGAUCGGGAGGAACACCUGUGGCGAAAGCGGCGCACUGGACCACAACUGACGCUGAGGCGCGAAAGCUAGGGGAGCAAACAGGAUUAGAUACCCUGGUAGUCCUAGCCCUAAACCAUGGAUGCUUGGUGUAGCGGGUACCCAAUCCCGCUGUGCCGCAGUUAACGCGAUAAGCAUCCCGCCUGGGGAGUACGGUCGCAAGGCUGAAACUCAAAGAAAUUGACGGGGGCCCGCACAAGCGGUGGAGCAUGUGGUUCAAUUCGACGCAACGCGAAGAACCUUACCUGGGCUCGAAGCGCAGUGGAAUCCGGUGGAAACAUCGGCGCCCGCAAGGGCCGCUGCGGAGGUGCUGCAUGGCUGUCGUCAGCUCGUGUCGUGAGAUGUUGGGUUAAGUCCCGCAACGAGCGCAACCCCUAUCCCUAGUUGCCAUCGGGUCAAGCCGGGCACUCUAGUGAAACCGCGCAGGAUAACUGCGAGGAAGGUGGGGAUGACGUCAAGUCCUCAUGGCCUUUAUGUCCAGGGCUACACACGUGCUACAAUGGUCGGUACAAACCGUCGCAAGCCCGCGAGGGGGAGCUAAUCGGAAAAAGCCGGCCUCAGUUCGGAUUGGAGUCUGCAACUCGACUCCAUGAAGCUGGAAUCGCUAGUAAUCGCGGAUCAGAACGCCGCGGUGAAUACGUUCCCGGGCCUUGUACACACCGCCCGUCACAUCACGAAAGUGGGCCGUACUAGAAAUCGGUGAGCCAACCGCAAGGGGGCAGCCGCUCAAGGUACAGCUCAUGAUUGGGGUGAAGUCGUAACAAGGUAACCGU
RNAcentral lists this ribosomal RNA (1502 nucleotides) under uncultured Nitrospiraceae bacterium. RNAcentral's name for it is "bacterial SSU rRNA". It matches the Rfam family "Bacterial small subunit ribosomal RNA". Lineage: Bacteria; Pseudomonadati; Nitrospirota; Nitrospiria; Nitrospirales; Nitrospiraceae. The record is from RNAcentral.